This 467-nucleotide ribosomal RNA is filed under the name uncultured bacterium. Its description in RNAcentral is "partial 16S ribosomal RNA". It matches the Rfam family "Bacterial small subunit ribosomal RNA", at positions 28 to 506 of the family's 1533-position model. The record is from RNAcentral.
GACGAACGCUGGCGGCGUGCUUAACACAUGCAAGUCGAACGGAAAGGCCCUGCUUUUGUGGGGUGCUCGAGUGGCGAACGGGUGAGUAACACGUGAGUAACCUGCCCUUGACUUUGGGAUAACUUCAGGAAACUGGGGCUAAUACCGGAUAGGAGCUCCUGCUGCAUGGUGGGGGUUGGAAAGUUUCGGCGGUUGGGGAUGGACUCGCGGCUUAUCAGCUUGUUGGUGGGGUAGUGGCUUACCAAGGCUUUGACGGGUAGCCGGCCUGAGAGGGUGACCGGCCACAUUGGGACUGAGAUACGGCCCAGACUCCUACGGGAGGCAGCAGUGGGGAAUAUUGCACAAUGGGCGGAAGCCUGAUGCAGCAACGCCGCGUGCGGGAUGACGGCCUUCGGGUGGUAAACCGCUUUCGCCUGUGACGAAGCGUGAGUGACGGUAAUGGGUAAAGAAACACCGGCGAACUACGU